RNAcentral lists this ribosomal RNA (497 nucleotides) under uncultured bacterium. RNAcentral's name for it is "partial 16S ribosomal RNA". It matches the Rfam family "Bacterial small subunit ribosomal RNA", at positions 28 to 507 of the family's 1533-position model. The record is from RNAcentral.
GAUGAACGCUGGCGGCGUGCCUAAUACAUGCAAGUCGAGCGAACAGACGAGGAGCUUGCUCCUCUGACGUUAGCGGCGGACGGGUGAGUAACACGUGGAUCACCUACCUAUAAGACUGGGAUAACUUCGGGAAACCGCAUCUAAUAACGGAUAAUAUAUUGAACCGCAUGGUUCAAUAGUGAAAGACGGUUUUGCUGUCACUUUUAGAUGGAUCCGCGCCGCAUUAGCUAGUUGGUAAGGUAACGGCUGACCAAGGCAACGAUGCGUAGCCGACCUGAGAGGGUGAUCGGCCACACUGGAACUGAGACACGGUCCAGACUCCUACGGGAGGCAGCAGUGGGGAAUCUUCGGCAAUGGGCGAAAGCCUGACCGAGCAACGCCGCGUGAGUGAUGAAGGUCUUCGGAUCGUAAAACUCUGUUAUUAGGGAAGAAAAGAUGUGGAAGUAACUAUGCACGUCUUGACGGUACCUAAACAGAAAGCCACGGCUAACUACGUG